GGAUUAGGCAUGCAAGUCGAGGGAGAAAGCGGGGCAACUCGCGAGUAAACCGGCGUAAGGGCGAGUAAUAUGUGGCCAAUCUACCUUAAAGAUGGGGACAACAAGUGGAAACGCUUGCUAAAACCCAAUGGUUCAGUCGGGGGGCAUCCUCUGACUGAUAAACGGUAGGGAUCUUCGGACCUUCUGCUUUUUGAGGAGGCCACACACUAUCAGCUAGUUGGCGGGGUAAUGGCCCACCAAGGCGAUGACGGUUAGGCGGUCUGAGAGGACGACCGCCCGCACUGGCACUGAGACACUGGCCAGACUCCUACGGGAGGCUGCAGUCGAGGAUCUUCUGCAAUGGGCGCAAGCCUGACAGAGCGACGCCGCGUAAAGGAUGAAGGCCUUCGGGUUGUAAACUUUUUUGAGCCGUUAAGAACGAACACGGGUUAACAGUCCGUGGAGUGACUAAGGCGGCAGAACAAGCCCCAGCUAACUACGUGCCAGCAGCUGCGGUAAUACGUAGGGGGCAAACGUUGCUCGGAAUCACUGGGCUUAAAGCGUACGUAGGUGGCUUUAUAAGUCUGAUGUGAAAUCCCCUGGCCUAACCAGGGAACUGCGUCGGAUACUGUAAGGCUUGAGGACUGUAGGGGAGACUGGAACUCCUGGUGUAGCGGUGAAAUGCGUAGAUAUCAGGAGGAACACCGGUGGCGAAAGCGAGUCUCUGGUCAGUUCCUGACACUGAGGUACGAAAGCUAGGGGAUCAAACGGGAUUAGAUACCCCGGUAGUCCUAGCCGUAAACGAUGGGCACUAGAUAGCGGGCGGACCUAUGCCGAUUCGCUGUCGGAGAGAAAUUGAUAAGUGCCCCGCCUGGGGAGUAUGCUCGCAAGGGUAAAACUCAAAGGAAUUGACGGGGGCUCACACAAGCGGUGGAGCAUGUGGUUCAAUUCGAGGCAACGCGAAGAACCUUACCUAGGUUUGACAUGUAUGGAUUAGCUCUAUGAAAGUAGAGUAACAGCCGAAAGGUUGGAACAUACACAGGUGUUGCAUGGCUGUCGUCAGCUCGUGUCGUGAGAUGUCGGGUUAAGUCCCUUAACGAGCGAAACCCUUGUCACUAGUUGCUACCGAGUAAUGUCGGGCACUCUAGUGAGACUGCCGUUGUCAAAACGGAGGAAGGUGGGGAUGACGUCAAGUCAUCAUGGCCUUUAUACCUAGGGCUACACACGUGCUACAAUGCCUGGUACAGAGGGUUCCGAGACCGCAAGGUGGAGGCAAUCCCUAAAAACCAUGCCCAGUUCAGAUUAGAGGCUGCAAUUCGCCUCCAUGAAGAUGGAAUCGCUAGUAAUCGCGGAUCAGCUACGCCGCGGUGAAUAUGUUCCUGAGCCUUGUACACACCGCCCGU
Molecule: ribosomal RNA, 1382 nt
Filed under: uncultured bacterium
Lineage: Bacteria
Description: bacterial SSU rRNA
Rfam family: Bacterial small subunit ribosomal RNA
Source: RNAcentral